GCUAUUGUGGCUCAAUGGCAGAGCAGCAGUAUCGUAAACCGCAGGUUGCCCGUUCAACUCGGAUUAUCAGCU
RNAcentral lists this transfer RNA (72 nucleotides) under Hydrogenoanaerobacterium saccharovorans. It matches the Rfam family "tRNA". Rfam says of the family: Transfer RNA (tRNA) molecules are approximately 80 nucleotides in length. Their secondary structure includes four short double-helical elements and three loops (D, anti-codon, and T loops). The record is from Rfam by way of RNAcentral. Lineage: Bacteria; Bacillati; Bacillota; Clostridia; Eubacteriales; Oscillospiraceae.